Molecule: ribosomal RNA, 301 nt
Filed under: uncultured bacterium
Lineage: Bacteria
Description: partial 16S ribosomal RNA
Rfam family: Bacterial small subunit ribosomal RNA
Source: RNAcentral
CAGUAGCCGCGGGAAUACAGAGGGUGCAAGCGUUAAUCGGAAUUACUGGGCGUAAAGCGUGCGUAGGCGGCUUUUUAAGUCGGAUGUGAAAUCCCUGAGCUUAACUUAGGAAUUGCAUUCGAUACUGGGAAGCUAGAGUAUGGGAGAGGAUGGUAGAAUUCCAGGUGUAGCGGUGAAAUGCGUAGAGAUCUGGAGGAAUACCGAUGGCGAAGGCAGCCAUCUGGCCUAAUACUGACGCUGAGGUACGAAAGCAUGGGGAGCAAACAGGAUUAGAUACCCCUGUAGUCCCUGUCUCUUAUAC